ACGCUCGACACCUACGGGGGGCAGCAGUGGGGAAUAUUGCACAAUGGGGGAAACCCUGAUGCAGCAACGCCGCGUGAAGGAAGACGGUUUUCGGAUUGUAAACUUCUAUCAAUAGGGAAGAAAGAAAUGACGGUACCUAAAUAAGAAGCCCCGGCUAACUACGUGCCAGCAGCUGCGGUAAUCUGAGCGGGCUGGCAAGGC
This 201-nucleotide ribosomal RNA is filed under the name uncultured bacterium. RNAcentral's name for it is "partial 16S ribosomal RNA". It matches the Rfam family "Bacterial small subunit ribosomal RNA", at positions 328 to 539 of the family's 1533-position model. The record is from RNAcentral.